Molecule: ribosomal RNA, 199 nt
Filed under: uncultured bacterium
Lineage: Bacteria
Description: partial 16S ribosomal RNA
Rfam family: Bacterial small subunit ribosomal RNA
Source: RNAcentral
ACGCUCGACACCUACGUGAGGCAGCAGUGGGGAAUAUUGCACAAUGGGGGAAACCCUGAUGCAGCGACGCCGCGUGAGCGAAGAAGUAUUUCGGUAUGUAAAGCUCUAUCAGCAGGGAAGAAGAAAGACGGUACCUGACUAAGAAGCCCCGGCUAACUACGUGUCAGCAGCCGCGGUAAUCUGAGCGGGCUGGCAAGGC